GGAUCUUCUCCUCCUGCUCGCCCUCGUCCUUGAAGGCCAACAUCUCGUCCGUGGCCCCCAGGUCGUCCCCGCCGCCGCUGCCCAGCUGCGGCAUUUUCCUCCCGCCGCUCCCUCACGGGCCGCGCAGUAACUUUCCCGAUGAUCCUCUUGUUUUGCAUGUGAAAAAAAUCGUCUGAGAUUUACAGCCCUCCCAAAUGGAGAUAAAGCCUUGGCAAUGAGUUGGAAACCUGUUGUAAUCUGUGAUCCAGGAAACAAAGAGCCUCAUUAAUGCAGAGACUUUGAUGUUACUUCUUUCCCAUCCUAACUGAUGGCUUUCUGGAGACACUGACAACAAGCCAGGGUGAGCCUGUCAGCAUCGUACUUCUCUGUGCUUCAGACUGGAAAUAAAAGGAAAGUGAGGAAAGAAGCCGUUCCAUCCCAAAUUACGGGCUCUUUGGGUGCCAGCCUGCAAUCCUGCUCAGCCAGGAGACUCUGUCCUCUAGCAGGACUGGGACUCUAUAUUACACCCUGUUGGAAGCCUGACCUCAGUGCUCUCAUUGGAAACCUCACAGGAUGCUACAGUGCUCCUGACUGAGGAAAAGUGCUUGGAUAAAGAUGCUCCAGUCAAUGGUCACUGGUUGCUGUGAAGGCCAUUAAAUCAUACCUCUGAUGGAUGCACUUUCAGUGCCUAUAGAAUAAGGGUCCCUAAACAGCAGAUAAACAUGUGUCCAAAGCACCAGCUAGCAACAGAAGCAGCUCCAAUAUCUGAUUUCAUGCCCUGUAGCUGGCCUUCAACAUCCUUUCAUUCUUUCAAAUACCUGAAGUUACUUUCCAGGGUCUUAAAUUUGUUCCUGUUGAAGGGAUCUGCCCUGGUAAAUGUCUGGUUUUGUGGGUUUGGGUUCUUUUUUUUGCUCUGGAAUAUGUCAAGAUGUUGGAAAAGGUGUGGGGUUGCUUUUGUAAGCUCUCUAUAUAGAGUUCUGAAAAAAACCCUACUUUAUUUAACUAGAAAAUGCAAUAGAAAUUAAAUACUUGAACAGGGAUGUUAAUACCUA
Long non-coding RNA from Pezoporus flaviventris, 1031 nucleotides. RefSeq lists it as uncharacterized. The transcript is spliced from 6 exons. The record is from RefSeq and is a predicted model, not a curated record. NCBI's taxonomy places the organism in Eukaryota, Metazoa, Chordata, Aves, Psittaciformes, Psittacidae.